Molecule: ribosomal RNA, 435 nt
Filed under: uncultured bacterium
Lineage: Bacteria
Description: partial 16S ribosomal RNA
Rfam family: Bacterial small subunit ribosomal RNA
Source: RNAcentral
UAGGGAAUCUUCGGCAAUGGACGAAAGUCUGACCGAGCAACGCCGCGUGAGUGAAGAAGGUUUUCGGAUCGUAAAACUCUGUUGGUAGAGAAGAACGUUGGUGAGAGUGGAAAGCUCAUCAAGUGACGGUAACUACCCAGAAAGGGACGGCUAACUACGUGCCAGCAGCCGCGGUAAUACGUAGGUCCCCGAGCGUUGUCCGGAUUUAUUGGGCGUAAAGCGAGCGCAGGUGGUUUAUUAAGUCUGGUGUAAAAGGCAGUGGCUCAACCAUUGUAUGCAUUGGAAACUGGUAGACUUGAGUGCAGGAGAGGAGAGUGGAAUUCCAUGUGUAGCGGUGAAAUGCGUAGAUAUAUGGAGGAACACCGGUGGCGAAAGCGGCUCUCUGGCCUGUAACUGACACUGAGGCUCGAAAGCGUGGGGAGCAAACAGGAUUAG